GGGCGCGUAGCUCAGUUGGUAGAGCAACGGACUUUUAAUCCGUUGGUCGCAGGUUCGACCCCUGUCGCGCUCA
RNAcentral lists this transfer RNA (73 nucleotides) under Patescibacteria group bacterium. RNAcentral's name for it is "tRNA-Lys". It matches the Rfam family "tRNA". Rfam says of the family: Transfer RNA (tRNA) molecules are approximately 80 nucleotides in length. Their secondary structure includes four short double-helical elements and three loops (D, anti-codon, and T loops). The record is from RNAcentral.